UACGUAGGGUGCAAGCGUUUAAUCGGAAUUACUGGGCGUAAAGCGUGCGCAGGCGGUUGUGCAAGACAGAUGUGAAAUCCCCGGGCUUAACCUGGGAAUUGCAUUUGUGACUGCACGGCUAGAGUGUGUCAGAGGGGGGUAGAAUUCCACGUGUAGCAGUGAAAUGCGUAGAUAUGUGGAGGAAUACCGAUGGCGAAGGCAGCCCCCUGGGAUAACACUGACGCUCAUGCAACGAAAGCGUGGGGAGCAAACAGG
This 255-nucleotide ribosomal RNA is filed under the name uncultured bacterium. RNAcentral describes it as "partial 16S ribosomal RNA". It matches the Rfam family "Bacterial small subunit ribosomal RNA", at positions 524 to 776 of the family's 1533-position model. The record is from RNAcentral.